This 82-nucleotide transfer RNA is filed under the name Exaiptasia diaphana. RNAcentral's name for it is "tRNA-Leu". It matches the Rfam family "tRNA". From Rfam's summary of the family: Transfer RNA (tRNA) molecules are approximately 80 nucleotides in length. Their secondary structure includes four short double-helical elements and three loops (D, anti-codon, and T loops). Further hydrogen bonds mediate the characteristic L-shaped molecular structure. tRNAs have two regions of fundamental functional importance: the anti-codon, which is responsible for specific mRNA codon recognition, and the 3' end, to which the tRNAs corresponding amino acid is attached (by aminoacyl-tRNA synthetases). tRNAs cope with the degeneracy of the genetic code in two manners: having more than one tRNA (with a specific anti-codon) for a particular amino acid; and 'wobble' base-pairing, i.e. permitting non-standard base-pairing at the 3rd anti-codon position. Lineage: Eukaryota; Metazoa; Cnidaria; Anthozoa; Actiniaria; Aiptasiidae. The record is from Rfam by way of RNAcentral.
GGUAGCGUGGCCGAGUGGUCGAAGGCGCUGGUUUUAGGCACCAAUCUCAUUAGAGGCGUGGGAUCGAGUCCCACCGCUGCCA